Molecule: long non-coding RNA, 442 nt
Organism: Calidris pugnax (ruff)
Lineage: Eukaryota; Metazoa; Chordata; Aves; Charadriiformes; Scolopacidae
Exons: 3
Source: RefSeq, a predicted model, not a curated record
GGGCGGGGAGCGAGCGUGUGAGGAGCGGGGCGGAGGCGGCGAGGGGAGAAGGAGGAGGAGCAGACGGCGGAGCCGAGCCCGCUAAGUCCGUCCGGCCGCCAGAGCGUAGGCGCUGUGCGGAAGGGCCGCGGCCCCUGGGCGGAAUCGGCGUAGGGGGCGUUGGAGAAUCGCCGGGUUGGCUGGCGGGAGGAGGAGGAGGACGGGGGGGGCGGCUCGCUCGCUGCCGUUGCGGCUGAGGGAAGGCGGGGAGGGCGGGAGGCAGGCAGGGAAGGAGGGCAGCCAGCCGGAGCCCAGCGUCAGCAGCGGCAGCGACACCGCCGCCACCGGCCAGCGCCAUGGUAGCUCAACAGAAGAACCUUGAAGGAUAUGUGGGGUUUGCAAAUCUUCCAAAUCAAGUUUACCGGAAGUCUGUGAAGAGAGGAUUUGAAUUCACUUGCUCAUG